Molecule: RNA transcript, 1207 nt
Organism: Populus nigra (black poplar)
Lineage: Eukaryota; Viridiplantae; Streptophyta; Magnoliopsida; Malpighiales; Salicaceae
Exons: 6
Source: RefSeq, a predicted model, not a curated record
UAAAAUUAAACACAGAAAACAUUAAAAAACAAAACAAAAAAUAUCGGUGAUCGGAGAACCAAAUCCUGGACAUGAGCGAGCCGCGAAACCCACCGUCGGGACUAAGAAUCUCCAUGACCGAACCUAUCCGCUCCUUUCUCCUCUCAGCUUCGAAAGACGGGGAUGUACCUCGAGAACUGCAGGAUCUCGCUCUCAAUCUCUCCUCUCAAAAUAACCUACACUACAAGUCCUUCCGUAGUAUAUGGAUCCGAUCCCCACCCUCAACCCGACCACCCGACUUGAUCCGCCUCUUCUCCGGUUCCAAUUUCAUCCUAUCCAGCCCCAAGCCCAGAGAAAAGAGUGAAGAGCUCAAGGCGAGAUUGAGGAAACUUGAAGAAAUGGCAGAGAGGAAAGCGUAUGCAGAGCUAGUUAAGGAUAUUACGCCGCGGAAGAAUACCGAUGAGCCCUUCUCUUCUUAUAAGGAUCAGAUGGGCUUUGGUUUGCAUGUUGUUCUUAUCAUGUUUACUGGCUAUCUGGUUGGAUAUGCAGCAUUUAGAGCUUUGUUUGGCCACAGUCCUGCCAUGAGUGCUGCUGGAGGCAUUCUUGGAUUGGUUUUUGGAAUGCUUGUAGAAACUUUUCUUUUCAUAAUUCGAACUUCCAACCCCGAUCCUAGAUCAUCAACUUCUAACACUUCUAAGCUAAAGAAGAAUCAAUAGAAUUGACACAAACAGAUGCAUCAGUAGGCUUGAUUAUAAUUUUUCUUUUCAACGAUCAGUUUGCAUUUGACGACUCUGGAUUUUGAUGAAGAAGCAUGAAGAAGAGAUACAGGUGCCUUAAUACCUGCACGAAUGUUGUUACCAUGACUGUUGACAUCAAAACUACUCCAACUACAGAAACUUUUCCCUGCAAAUUCAAGACAAACAAAAUCUGUCAUAGUGAUAAUUAAGACCGGGAGAAAGAAAGCUAUUGAGCAAUGUUAAAGGAAGAAGAGGGUGAGACCUAGAGGGGGAUUGAGGACAAAACGUUCAAGGAUCUAUAUGAAGUAGAGAGUCAGCUGGAAAGAGGGUAGUAGAAGUGUAGAACCCUAAUUUUUAUUUAUAUAUAGCUUGGUAUAAUUGUAAUUUUUUUUCAAACUUUAAGGUUAUUUAGUUCGGGUAGGGUUUCAAUUCGGACAAAGCAAUAUCCAUACCCUAUCUACAUUUAAAUGAGCAAAACAAAUCUUUAUCUA